RNAcentral lists this ribosomal RNA (254 nucleotides) under uncultured bacterium. Its description in RNAcentral is "partial 16S ribosomal RNA". It matches the Rfam family "Bacterial small subunit ribosomal RNA", at positions 524 to 776 of the family's 1533-position model. The record is from RNAcentral.
UACGUAGGUGGCAAGCGUUGUCCGGAUUUACUGGGCGUAAAGAGCGCGCAGGCGGUCGUUCAAGUCGCGUGUGAAAGCCACCGGCUCAACUGGGGAGGGUCACGCGAUACUGAUCGACUCGAAGGCAGGAGAGGGUAGUGGAAUUCCCGGUGUAGUGGUGAAAUGCGUAGAUAUCGGGAGGAACACCAGUGGCGAAGGCGACUACCUGGCCUGUUUCUUGACGCUGAGGCGCGAAAGCUAGGGGAGCAAACGGG